RNAcentral lists this ribosomal RNA (453 nucleotides) under uncultured bacterium. Its description in RNAcentral is "partial 16S ribosomal RNA". It matches the Rfam family "Bacterial small subunit ribosomal RNA", at positions 29 to 507 of the family's 1533-position model. The record is from RNAcentral.
AUGAACGCUGACAGAAUGCUUAACACAUGCAAGUCAACUUGAACUUCGGUUUGGGUGGCGGACGGGUGAGUAACGCGUAAAGAACUUGCCUCACAGAUAGGGACAACAUUUGGAAACGAAUGCUAAUACCUGAUAUUAUGAUUUUAGGGCAUCCUAGGAUUAUGAAAGCUAUAUGCGCUGUGAGAGAGCUUUGCGUCCCAUUAGCUAGUUGGAGAGGUAACGGCUCACGAAGGCGAUGAUGGGUAGCCGGCCUGAGAGGGUGAUCGGCCACAAGGGGACUGAGACACGGCCCUUACUCCUACGGGAGGCAGCAGUGGGGAAUACUGGACAAUGGACCAAGAGUCUGAUCCAGCAAUUCUGUGUGCACGAUGAAGUUUUUCGGAAUGUAAAGUGCUUUCAGUUGGGAAGAAAAAAAUGACGGUACCAACAGAAGAAGUGACGGCUAAAUACGUG